RNAcentral lists this ribosomal RNA (1217 nucleotides) under Candidatus Azambacteria bacterium GW2011_GWA2_42_62. RNAcentral describes it as "bacterial SSU rRNA". It matches the Rfam family "Bacterial small subunit ribosomal RNA". Lineage: Bacteria; Candidatus Azamiibacteriota. The record is from RNAcentral.
UUUGAGAAUUUGAUCCUGGUUCAGGAUGAACGCUGGCGGUGUGGAUAAGGCAUGCAAGUCGAGCGGUUCGAUUUCGUCGCAAGACGAAAUCGAAUAGCGGCGAACGAGUUAGUAACACGUAGGAACUUACCCCAAAGACGGGAAUAACCCUCCGAAAGGAGGACUAAUACCCGAUGGCAUGAAGGUUAAAAUCUUCAUUAAAGUCGCAAGACGCUUUGGGAGAGGCCUGCGGGCUAUCAGCUAGUUGGUAGGGUAAUGGCCUACCAAGGCGAUGACGGCUAGGGGGCGCGAGAGCGUGUUCCCCAACGUAAGGGACUGAGACACGGCCCUAACUCCUACGGGAGGCAGCAGUCGAGAAUAUUUCGCAAUGGGCGAAAGCCUGACGAAGCGACACCGCGUGAAGGAAGAAGGCCCUCGGGUCGUAAACUUCUUUUGACAGAGAACAAGCCGCAAGGUUGAGCGUAUCUGUAGAAUAAGGCGCUGCUAACUUCGUGCCAGCAGCAGCGGUAAUACGAAGGCGCCAAGCGUUAUCCGGAUUUAUUGGGCGUAAAGAGUUCAAAGGGGNCGUUAAGCACUCCGCCUGGGAAGUACGAGCGCAAGCUUAAAACUCAAAGGAAUAGACGGGGACUCGCACAAGCGGUGGAGCAUGUGGUUCAAUUCGACAAUAACCGAAAAACCUUACCUGGCCUUGACACUCUAACAAUAACCUCGCGAAAGCAAGGUGUGUUCACAAGACGGUUAGAGCAGGUACUGCAUGGUUGUCGUCAGCUCGUGCCUUGAGGUGUUCCGUUAAGUCGGGAAACGAGCGCAACCCCUGUUGCCAGUUACAAGUGUCUGGCGAUACUGCCCCGAGAGACGGGGAGGAAGGAGGGGACAACGUCAAAUCAGCAUGGUCCUUUGAUGGCCAGGGCUACACACGUGCUACAAUGGGAAAUACAAAGGGUUGCCAAGCCGUAAGGCGGAGCUAAUCCCAUCAAAAUUUCCCCCAGUUCAGAUUGAGGGCUGCAACUUGCCCUCAUGAAGAUGGAAUCGCUAGUAAUCGCGGAUCAGCAUGCCGCGGUGAAUACGUUCUCGAGUCUUGUACUCACCGCCCGUCAUACCAAGGGAGCCGGGAAUGCCUUAAUUCUGACUUUAUGUCGGACCACGGUAAGCUCGGUAACAAGGGUGAAGUCGUAACAAGGCAUCGCUAGCGGAAGCUGGUGAUGGAUCAUCUCCUU